GAUGAACGCUGGCGGCGUGCCUAAUACAUGCAAGUCGAACGAAACUUAUUUAUCACCGAGUGCUUGCACUCACCGAUAAAGAGUUGAGUGGCGAACGGGUGAGUAACACGUGGGCAACCCGCCCAAAAGAGGGGGAUAACACUUGGAAACAGGUGCUAAUACCGCAUAACCAUAGUUACCGCAUGGUAACUAUGUAAAAGGUGGCUAUACUACCGCUUUUGGAUGGUCCCGCGGCGCAUUAGCUAGUUGGUAGGGGAAAGGCUUACCAAGGCAAUGAUGCGUAGGCGACUUGAAGGCUUGAUCGGCUAGAUUGGCAGUGAGACAGAGCCGAAACUCCGAGAGGGGGCAGCAGUAGGGAAUCUUCCACGAGGGGGGAAAGCCUGAUGGAGCAACGCCGCGUGGGUGAAGAAGGUCUGCGGAUCGUAAAACCCUGUUGUUAGAGAGGAAAGUGCGUGAGAGUAACUGUUCACGUUUUGACGGUAUCUAACCAGAAAGCGACGGCUAACUACGUG
RNAcentral lists this ribosomal RNA (512 nucleotides) under uncultured bacterium. Its description in RNAcentral is "partial 16S ribosomal RNA". It matches the Rfam family "Bacterial small subunit ribosomal RNA", at positions 28 to 507 of the family's 1533-position model. The record is from RNAcentral.